Molecule: ribosomal RNA, 493 nt
Filed under: Candidozyma auris
Lineage: Eukaryota; Fungi; Ascomycota; Pichiomycetes; Serinales; Metschnikowiaceae
Description: LSU rRNA
Rfam family: Eukaryotic large subunit ribosomal RNA
Source: RNAcentral
GGCGAGUGAAGCGGCAAGAGCUCAACUUUGGAAUCGCUCCGGCGAGUUGUAGUCUGGAGGUGGCCACCACGAGGUGUUCUAGCAGCAGGCAAGUCCUUUGGAACAAGGCGCCAGCGAGGGUGACAGCCCCGUACCUGCUUUUGCUAGUGCUUCCUGUGGCCCACCGACGAGUCGAGUUGUUUGGGAAUGCAGCUCUAAGUGGGUGGUAAAUUCCAUCUAAGGCUAAAUAUUGGCGAGAGACCGAUAGCGAACAAGUACAGUGAUGGAAAGAUGAAAAGCACUUUGAAAAGAGAGUGAAACAGUACGUGAAAUUGUUGAAAGGGAAGGGCUUGCACCCAGACACGGUUUCGGCCGGGCCAGCAUCAAGUAGAACGGGGUUAAAAGACUUGGGGAAUGUAGCUACUUCGGUAGUGUUAUAGCCCUUGGUGAUGACCCCUGUUUUGCUUGAGGACAGCGGUCUCUAGGAUGCUGGCGCAAUGGUUGCAAGCCACCC